AAACAUAUCAAGACAAAUCAAUAUGGAUUAAAGGGUAAAAUUAAUGCUCCAGCUUUCCGCUUACUUCUGCCACUCUCCCAGCAACCAAACAGAAAUCCCAAAAACCCAUAACACAAAUUGUGAAAAAAAAAAAAACAAUUGCCCAAGAAACAAUAGCAAGAACGUCACCGACAAUUAGGGUAAAAAUCAGACCAAAUCCAGAACGAAACAAACCGGAAAAGUUUAGAAAAAUUCUGGGGAAUUAAGGAAUGGGAAAGGGGCAAGCAACCCAUAAAAUGAAAGGAAUUACCUAAGGGCAGUAGAAAAAACGAAAAGGAUCUCAAAACAUAACAAAAGAGGAAAAACAAAAUCCUUUUAAGAAAAUUUUGACUAUUAUUUUCUGGGUAACCAAAUGGAAAACCCAAGAGAGAGAGAGAGCGCUUACCUAGGGUUCCGGGUUUUUCAGAGGGUGAGGUGAGAGCCAUUGUCGGCGCCAGUGGAAACCAGAGGGGAGAGGACGAAGGUUACCUCUUAUUUUCUUUUUCUUGAUCAAUUUUUCAUUUUUUUCUGAUACGAAAAAAGGAAAAAAAAUUUACUGGGCGGAGAUGGUGGCCAUAUCCGAUUCCACCGUCCUUCACAAAUCGUAUGAAGAAAAAGAAAAAAGAAGACAAAUUACAACAGAAAUUCGAAGCUCAAGGCCUGCAAAAUUGCAGAUCUAGAAACGCCGAUCUCAACUUUGGUACAAUCAGAAGGUAGAAAUCAACCAAAAGAGAAUAACAGAGAAAAGAAAACUAAGGAAAAUUUUGCAUAUCUGUAUACAUGUUGAGAGAGGGAAAAGAUGGACGCAGCCUCCAAUUCACGGCCAGCAUCACCUUUUCCUUGAUGGAUCUACCUUGCCUACUCAAAUUUUUGGAAGAAAUUCAACCGAACAAGGAAACCCUCAGAUCUCCGGAGGAAGCACUCCCGUCCCCAACUCCAGCUGCCGAGAAAAGGCUCACAGCACCCUUUAUAUAUAUUUGGUUGGGGAAAUAAUCCCAAAGAAAAUAUAAUCCUUCUUUUCAUUUAAAAAAAAAAAAAAAAAAACCAUUUUUUUAUAAAAGCAUGUAUACAUAUUUUUUUAAUACCACGCAUUUCUGGCGCGUUGAAAUCACUUGCGUAAUUGAUCAUACGAGACAACAAAACAAAUUUGAAAC
This 1172-nucleotide long non-coding RNA is filed under the name Vitis vinifera (wine grape). Its description in RNAcentral is "long non-coding RNA (VVIN_LNC006411)". Lineage: Eukaryota; Viridiplantae; Streptophyta; Magnoliopsida; Vitales; Vitaceae. The record is from RNAcentral.